This is a long non-coding RNA of Carassius auratus (goldfish), 242 nucleotides long. RefSeq lists it as uncharacterized. Lineage: Eukaryota; Metazoa; Chordata; Actinopteri; Cypriniformes; Cyprinidae. The transcript is spliced from 3 exons. The record is from RefSeq and is a predicted model, not a curated record.
AACCAGGACCCUUCACUCGCACACACACACCAGCACAGUGACACCUCGAACAGGAAGAGAGACGACAAGAACAAUGACAGGAAGUACUGCAGUUCAACUCAAUCAGCCAAACACUGAGCGCACAAACUACACUACCCAUGAUGCAACAGUCCCAGUACCAGUUUUAUCAUUUGGUUCAUCUGUGAUUAUUAUCACUAUGGUGGCUUUGGUUUUACUUCUGUUAGGACUUCCAUUGAUUAUAG